Molecule: long non-coding RNA, 860 nt
Organism: Neocloeon triangulifer
Lineage: Eukaryota; Metazoa; Arthropoda; Insecta; Ephemeroptera; Baetidae
Exons: 4
Source: RefSeq, a predicted model, not a curated record
CAAAAUUAAAGAAAAAAAUCAUGACGAGAUUUCCAGUCAUACUAAAAUACUUUUCUUCUGUUUUUCUCACCUUAAUUUUUGUUUCCAUUCAAUCUUUGGCUCAAGGAAACCAAACAAAAAUUUGCACCACAUAUAAAUUGAUAAUUCUUCUUGACAAUUUCAAUAAGAAAAAUGAAACACAGUUGACCUGUGAUGAGAUCUUUUGCAAAGCAAGAAAUAAAAAAAGUUGUGUAACAAACAAAACACAUUGGGACUUGAAGCCUGACGCAAACAACUAUAACUUUUUUGCUGAUAAUUGUUUUCAAGACCAUUGCUAUCAUUGCCUUUUGCCACAAUUAGAUUUUGAAUAUUGCAAUGUGAGUGAUGCACCAACAAACAAAUACACUUGCAAAUGCAAACAAAAUCGUACUUUACAUUUUGAAAGAUGCAAAGAAAAUAAAAAUAACUGGUGCAGGCAUGAACCAGUCAAUGAGGAUUCCUCAAAUUCGGAAGUUGAUGAAUUCCACUUGAACCAUUUUGUCGUCAUUGGAUGCUGCUCAGCAGUAAUUCUUGUUACUAUCAUUACCAUCGCAAUUUACUUGUAUUGUUUUCUGCGGAAGAUCCAAGCGAAUUCAAACGGAGGGCAAGAAUAGGUGGAUCACAAAGAUUUCAAAUUUAAUAUUUCAAUAUUUCGACAAAACAUUGUGCAUAGAAUGAGGAAUAAUCUGAUUUAAAAUAUCCUUAAAAUUAUUAACAAAACCUGGCGAACCUUACAAUCUCUUGCUUGUUUGAAAAUGUGUAUAAAAAUAAUUCAAAUAUCAUUUUUUAUUUUUUUAUUAUAGAUACUAAUUGUUCAAGUGAAGAAGUAAGCAAUCGAGGAA